Oncorhynchus keta (chum salmon) is the source of this 552-nucleotide long non-coding RNA. RefSeq lists it as uncharacterized. Lineage: Eukaryota; Metazoa; Chordata; Actinopteri; Salmoniformes; Salmonidae. The transcript has 3 exons. The record is from RefSeq and is a predicted model, not a curated record.
GCUCCUCGUGCUGUUGCCUGAGGUCUGGGAUUUCCUGAGACUAUCAUAUCUGUAAAAUUAGGUGGUAUGCUGUAGUCAUAUCUGUAAUAUUAGGUGGUAUGCUGUAGUCAUAUCUGUAAUAUUAGGUGAUAUGCAGUAGUCAUAGGUGUAAUAUUAGGUGGUAUGCAGUAGUCAUAGGUGUAAAAUUAGGUGGUAUGCUGUAGUCAUAUCUGUAAUAUUAGGUGGUAUGCUGUAGUCAUAUCUGUAAUAUUAGGUGGUAUGCAGUAGUCAUAGGUGUAAUAUUAGGUGGUAUGCAGUAGUCAUAGGUGUAAUAUUAGGUGGUAUGCAGUAGUCAUAGGUGUAAUAUUAGGUGGUAUGCAGUAGUCAUAGGUGUAAUAUUAGGUGGUAUGCAGUAGUCAUAGGUGUAAUAUUAGGUGGUAUGCAGUAGUCAUAGGUGUAAUAUUAGGUGGUAUGCAGUAGUCAUAUCUGUAAUAUUAGGUGGUAUGCAGUAGUCAUAGGUAUAAUAUUAGGUGGUAUGCUGUAGUCAUAUCUGUAAUAUUAGGUGGUAUGCAG